Cyprinus carpio carpio is the source of this 2556-nucleotide long non-coding RNA. NCBI's taxonomy places the organism in Eukaryota, Metazoa, Chordata, Actinopteri, Cypriniformes, Cyprinidae. The record is from Ensembl.
CUUGACAUCAGAUCUGCAUGUAACGUUGUUGUAGUUUAUAUAGUGAAAUAUCCAGACACACAAGUCAGAUGAUCUUUUGAAUAAUUUGAAGCCAAUCUUUAUGAACAUUAUAAACAGUAUUACAUGGUAUUGUUUAUCAACAUUAUUCACACAAUUAUAUGAUACAGAAACAUUAUACACAUUUAAAAUAAUCUUUUUUUUACACUAACCAAUCUUUCAUAUAAAAAUAAACUAACAAUAUUUAUUUUUCUCUUUGAAUAGCAGUUUCCACAAUAUUUCGUAAUAACUUAAUAUAUAGCAGAGCACAUAUUUCCAGCAUAUUUUCUUUACAUAAUAGACAAAUUUCCCCCUUUUUUAUGGUGUGCUGAUUUUGGCAGCUCAACUAGGUUUUUUAAAACAACCUAUUACUACGGAAUUCUGGUUUUCUUGUUCUCUCAUUUUCUUUAUUUUUACCUAGUGGGAUGAUUCUCUCGUGUACCUGUACAUUUUAAGCGCAUAUAAGCAGAAAACGCCCUCAAAAAAAAAAAAAAAAACACUAAAAGUUCGAGACUAACAUGUUUUGCCAACUGAAACAGACUACUUCACGCGGGGACAGCUAAUACAACCAAAUACAAUGUCCGAAUUAUUCCAUUACUCUUUCAGGGGACUGUUUUUCUGUCAGUAUUUUACGAUAUGAGAUCCGUGUCGUGGUGCGCCCGCACUUCAACUAAAGACGUUCUAUCCAGAACACAAAAGGUCUUGUCAUAUUUUUGUGUGUAGGCUAUACCCUACAAUAAAGUGAUAAGUAACAUGCUACUUUUACCGCGGGAACGUGAUCACUUAGCGCUACUGUUGCUUGUAACCUUGAGACUUCCCAAGUGCCUUGGUACUUGGACAAAUACUUCGUAUAUAUACACACUUAUGUAUAUAACCCCCACACACGCGCGCGCACCUUUUGUUUUUACUUCCAUGUCUGGGGGAGGGGGUGUUAGGGUUUAAUUUGGGGAAGUUCGAAUUCCCCCCAUUAUUUCCACCCAGGCCAAAUAUGCAGUUAAUUCUGAAAACGUGCCCUAUUUUAUAACAAGAGAAGAAAGUGUCAAAAUGGUGGACAUCACAAUCGAACUCUUUUGUGCUCUUAAAUCCCACGCAUCACUCUCCUCGUCUUCAUAAUCCGUCUCGUAGUCGUAGUCCAAGUCGUCCUCGGUAUUUGAAAAGCCACUCCCGCCGUAUCGGUCGUUAAAGCAGAAGUUUUUCAUGCUGCCUUUGACAAACUCGCAUAUUGUCCUCUCUGUGCCGUCGCACACGCAAGUGUCCAGCUGCUGGGCUUUGGGGACGGAGCGCAUGUUCGUGAUGACCCGCCGGCAGUCGUCAGAGCAGCGCUCUCCGCCGAAGAGUUUCCUGCAGUGAAACAGAUAGUCCCGCAUGGCGGUGCUGCACUCGGGAUCCUUCUCACACUGCUUACGCGCUUCGGUGCAGCCCAUGUGGCUCGUUCUAGGUAUACAGGGCUCGAUGGCUCUCUUGGUCAUCUUGCAUAGAGUGUCCGAGGCGCACUCGCAGUCCUCCAGUGCCGGGCCGUUCACAGUCAGAUUGAGCUGAAUGAUGGAAGAAAUGCAGUGGCUCGGACAUUUCUUCUUCUUGCCGUUUAUCACCGGACCGCACGCGUGUAGAUACUGUGUGUACGCGUAGUGACACUCCUGUUCUCCUUGGCACUUCAUGAUGGCUUGCCAGCAUAUCAAACGCUGGUUGUGUGCCGGUGAUGCGGUGGAUAAACGAUUAUAACAUACCAAUGCACAGCCGAUGGACACAAUCAAUAUUUGCAGCCGUAGAAUGGCUGGAGAAUUGCCAUAGUUUGCCAUUUCUUUAUGAUGCAGAGGCUUAAAAGUUGAUUAUUAGGUCAAGGGAUUCCAUUUGUUGGUUUAUAACCCAUAAUGUUUUUCCACCAGAGACUGAGAUAAACAACUCUUGUUCCAUGCCCACCGUCUAGCCACGUUCUUCUGACCCCUUCAGAUAGUUAAGUGUGCUCAUAUUUGUUCCUUCGAUAUCCACUGAAACGUGUAUCGAAACCCCUCCAUGGACAAAACACCAAAUGGCUGGUAACGAAUCACAUUUGCUCACAGCCGCGAAAGCAAAACGUGCAGCAACAUCUUGAAGCGCGUGGAGUCUUUAUUCUCGCUGCUCUUUGUGCAGUAGACUAAUCCAGUAAGGAAUCGGCGGCUUAUAAAUUACAUCGAAACAUUCCAAAAGCGAUCUCACACCGCAUCUUGUCCAAAUAACAAAGCUGGAAAAAGUUCAACUCACUCUGACUCCUCUGAGAUGUCUUGUUGGAUCUGUUCAGUUACCCGGACCCCAGAAGUUCUGAUUAUGAUCAUCACCUGGCCCAAAUCUGCAAAAAGAGAAGGGGCAGUUUUUGAAGAACAGAGCGGACUGUGUUAUCCAUGCUACAUUGACCCACACUGCAGCGCUCAAACCACAAAGCUUGGGCAGCUGGCCAAAAAUGCCCUCUACCUCACUUCCACCUUCCAACAUUUUCUCCUUUUUCCAAUUAGGAAGAUUAGAUGGCCCAUUUGGGAGGAAGGG